AUGCAGUUUGGAAGAUUAAGUGAACUCCUCCGUUGCAGAAGUAAUGGCAGUACCUGGCCUGUAGAAACUUGUGUAAGGAAAAAUAUGUGUGUAGGGUCCUUUGUCAGAGACUUCCGUGAUCUGCAUGGACUUGAGACGGAUCAUGUAGGUGCCAGGAUCAACAUAAAUGAAGAUCACAUCAGCAUCUUCAGCAUAGCCAACUGGCUCCACUGGAAGCAUACAUGCCGCCACUACUUCUGCCGCAAGAAGCUUCUCCAGAUCAACAACUCUGCGACGUGUCCAUGUUACCGACCCAUCAAUGCUAGCUACCCUUGA
RNAcentral lists this ribosomal RNA (315 nucleotides) under Triticum aestivum (bread wheat). Its description in RNAcentral is "partial small subunit ribosomal RNA". The record is from RNAcentral. Lineage: Eukaryota; Viridiplantae; Streptophyta; Magnoliopsida; Poales; Poaceae.